RNAcentral lists this microRNA precursor (84 nucleotides) under Bombyx mori (domestic silkworm). RNAcentral's name for it is "mir-2807 microRNA precursor family". It matches the Rfam family "mir-2807 microRNA precursor family". Lineage: Eukaryota; Metazoa; Arthropoda; Insecta; Lepidoptera; Bombycidae. The record is from Rfam by way of RNAcentral.
UUAAGUCAAAUUUGUAUAGAUUUGGAACGUUUGCCUAUGUUUGCCGCUAGGGGCAUUGUUCCAGCUGCAUACAUAUUUUAGGUA